AAAGAAUGAACGUCAUUUGCUGCACUGCAUAGUGAUUGAAGAAUGUCAGUGGAUAUAAAAACACUGGAUAUAUGCACCUUAUUCAAGAGAACAAGCAUCAGAGGAGACAUGCAGAUCUACCGGGACACAGACGUCCACCUGGACUAACAGGAAGGACAGCGAUAACCAGAGAAGCAGCACAGAGAUCCCUGGUAACUCUGGAGGAGCUGCGGAGAGCUACAGCUCAGGAGAGUCCAGUAAAAACUACACACAUCAUGGACCCAGCCUGCUUUCCCCGGAGAAGAAAUAUCAGAGCCAAAGACUCUACACCAUCAUGGAUACUUACUGUAUAAGUGUUGGCUGACA
This is a long non-coding RNA of Gambusia affinis (western mosquitofish), 345 nucleotides long. RefSeq lists it as uncharacterized. The transcript has 3 exons. The record is from RefSeq and is a predicted model, not a curated record. NCBI's taxonomy places the organism in Eukaryota, Metazoa, Chordata, Actinopteri, Cyprinodontiformes, Poeciliidae.